RNAcentral lists this ribosomal RNA (458 nucleotides) under uncultured bacterium. RNAcentral's name for it is "partial 16S ribosomal RNA". It matches the Rfam family "Bacterial small subunit ribosomal RNA", at positions 29 to 507 of the family's 1533-position model. The record is from RNAcentral.
AACGAACGCUGGCGGCAUGCCUAACACAUGCAAGUCGAACGAGACCUUCGGGUCUAGUGGCGCACGGGUGCGUAACGCGUGGGAACCUGCCCUUAGGUUCGGAAUAACUCCCCGAAAGGGGUGCUAAUACCGGAUAAUGUCUUCGGACCAACGAUUUAUCGCCUUUGGAUGGGCCCGCGUUGGAUUGGCUAGUUGGUAGGGUAAAGGCCUACCAAGGCGACGAUGCAUAGCUGGUCUGAGAGGAUGGUCAGCCACACUGGGGCUGAGACACGGCCCCGACUCCGGAGGGAGGCAGCAGCGGGGAAUAUUGGGCAAGGGGCGAGAGGGUGAUACAGACAAGCGGCGUGUGUGAAGAAGGUCCUCGGCGGGGAAAGUACUUAAAGUUGGGGGGUAGGAAAGUAAUUUAACACGGUGCUGUUUUGACGGUACCGGCAGAAUAAGCCCCGGCUAACUUCGUG